This 22-nucleotide microRNA is filed under the name Homo sapiens (human). RNAcentral describes it as "hsa-miR-8086". Lineage: Eukaryota; Metazoa; Chordata; Mammalia; Primates; Hominidae. The record is from miRBase by way of RNAcentral.
UGCUAGUCUGGACUGAUAUGGU